CAGCAGCCGCGGUAAUACCGGCGGCCCGAGUGGCGGUCACUAUUAUUGGGCUUAAAGCGUCCGUAGCCGGGUUGGGAAGUCCUCCGGGAAAUCUGGCCGCUUAACGGUCAGAAUGCCGGAGGAUACUCCCAGCCUAGGGAGCGGGAGAGGCCGAGGGGAUUCCCGGGGUAGGGGGGAAAACCUAUAAUCCCGGGAGGACCACCUGUGGCGAAGGCGCUCGGCUGGAACGCGUCCGACGGUGAGGGACGAAGGCCAGGGGAGCAAACCGGAUUAGAUACCCGGGUAGUCCUGGCUGUAAACGAUGCGGACUUUGUGUCGGACAAGCUAUGAGCUUGUCCGGUGCCGGAGGGAAACCGUUAAGUCCGCCGCCUGGGGAGUACGGCCGCAAGGCUGAAACUUAAAGGAAUUGGCGGG
Molecule: ribosomal RNA, 414 nt
Filed under: uncultured microorganism
Description: bacterial SSU rRNA
Rfam family: Archaeal small subunit ribosomal RNA
Source: RNAcentral